GAGUUUGAUCAUGGCUCAGGACGAACGCUGGCGGCGUGCUUAACACAUGCAAGUCGAACGGUGAACCCCGCUUGCGGGGGGAUCAGUGGCGAACGGGUGAGUAACACGUGGGCAACCUGCCCCCGGCUCUGGGAUAACCCCAAGAAAUUGGGGCUAAUACCGGAUAUGACCGCUGGCCGCAUGGUCUGGUGGUGGAAAGAUUUAUCGGCUGGGGAUGGGCCCGCGGCCUAUCAGCUUGUUGGUGGGGUAGUGGCCUACCAAGGCGACGACGGGUAGCCGGCCUGAGAGGGUGACCGGCCACACUGGGACUGAGACACGGCCCAGACUCCUACGGGAGGCAGCAGUGGGGAAUAUUGCGCAAUGGGCGGAAGCCUGACGCGGCGACGCCGCGUGGGGGA
This 398-nucleotide ribosomal RNA is filed under the name uncultured Actinomycetes bacterium. RNAcentral's name for it is "bacterial SSU rRNA". It matches the Rfam family "Bacterial small subunit ribosomal RNA", at positions 9 to 408 of the family's 1533-position model. Lineage: Bacteria; Bacillati; Actinomycetota; Actinomycetes. The record is from RNAcentral.